GUCGAGCGGAUGCACGGACUUCUGGCUGGUGGCAAGUGGCGAACGGAUGAGUGAUGUAUCGGAACGUGACUAGUACCGGGGGAGACUACACGAAAGCAAACCUGAUACCGUAUACGCCCUACUGGGGAAAUGAGGGGAUCGCAAGACCUUGGACUAUUCGAGUGGCCCAUAUGGAAGGACCUAGUUGGUGUUGUAACGGCUCAGAGGGCCACCAUCCCUAGGUGGCUUGACAGGACCACCCUGACACUGGAUCUGACACACUGGCCCUACUCCUACGGGAGGACUCCUGGGGAAUUUUGGACAAUGGAAUCAAACCCUGAGCCCGAAAUCCUGACUGUGCGACGACGGCCUUCUGGUUGAGGCUUUUUUUGGCAAGAAUCUGUUGCGCGGAAUAAUACCCCCUAGAACUGACAGUUCCUGCCUAAUAAGCACCUAAUAACUACGUGCCAGCUAACUACGUAAUACCUACGGUGCAAAUACUUAUCGGAAUUACUGGGUCUAAAAUUAUUGCSCGC
Molecule: ribosomal RNA, 515 nt
Filed under: Achromobacter piechaudii
Lineage: Bacteria; Pseudomonadati; Pseudomonadota; Betaproteobacteria; Burkholderiales; Alcaligenaceae
Description: bacterial SSU rRNA
Rfam family: Bacterial small subunit ribosomal RNA
Source: RNAcentral